This 492-nucleotide ribosomal RNA is filed under the name uncultured bacterium. RNAcentral's name for it is "partial 16S ribosomal RNA". It matches the Rfam family "Bacterial small subunit ribosomal RNA", at positions 29 to 507 of the family's 1533-position model. The record is from RNAcentral.
AGUGAACGCUGGCGGUAGGCCUAACACAUGCAAGUCGAACGGCAGCACAGUAAGAGCUUGCUCUUACGGGUGGCGAGUGGCGGACGGGUGAGGAAUACAUCGGAAUCUACUUUUUCGUGGGGGAUAACGUAGGGAAACUUACGCUAAUACCGCAUACGACCUACGGGUGAAAGCAGGGGAUCUUCGGACCUUGCGCGAUUGAAUGAGCCGAUGUCGGAUUAGCUAGUUGGCGGGGUAAAGGCCCACCAAGGUGACGAUCCGUAGCUGGUCUGAGAGGAUGAUCAGCCACACUGGAACUGAGACACGGUCCAGACUCCUACGGGAGGCAGCAGUGGGGAAUAUUGGACAAUGGGCGCAAGCCUGAUCCAGCCAUACCGCGUGGGUGAAGAAGGCCUUCGGGUUGUAAAGCCCUUUUGUUGGGAAAGAAAAGCAGCAGGUUAAUACCCCGCUGUUCUGACGGUACCCAAAGAAUAAGCACCGACUAACUUCGUG